This 62-nucleotide transfer RNA is filed under the name Cloacotaenia megalops. Its description in RNAcentral is "tRNA-Tyr". Lineage: Eukaryota; Metazoa; Platyhelminthes; Cestoda; Cyclophyllidea; Hymenolepididae. The record is from RNAcentral.
CUGGUUUAGCAUAUAUUAAUGCAAUAGGUUGUAGCCCUUUUUAAAACGAAAGUUAAUCAGGU